GAAAAAUUGGCGAAAAUUUGAGUUUAUGGAAUAUUUUUGAAAAGAAAAUUGAAAACCGGGGGUCAAAACGAAUUUUAAAAAAAUUGUACAACGUCAGCAGCCCCAGCCAAUCAGGACACGCUGCGUGGUAGAGACGUUGACGUGGGAGACCACGCGGAAGGGAGCCACGUGGGCGAUCCGCGUGCGCGUGAUCGAACAGCUGAGAUCCGUUCCCCCGCGUACAAACGGCCUAGAUUGCACGCGCACGGAUGACCCAGAUUGAAUCGCGCACAAACAUCUCAGAUUGCAUCGCGAUAAACGGUUUAGAUUCAUUUCCUAUUUAAUCGCGAUCGGACGGUGUAGAUUGAAUCGCGAUUGACGACUCAGAUAAAAAGCGGAUGGUUAUAAAUAAUCUAAUCCGCACCCAAACCGUAACCCUAGCCGC
Molecule: long non-coding RNA, 424 nt
Filed under: Carica papaya (papaya)
Lineage: Eukaryota; Viridiplantae; Streptophyta; Magnoliopsida; Brassicales; Caricaceae
Description: long non-coding RNA (CPAP_LNC010448)
Source: RNAcentral